Molecule: ribosomal RNA, 253 nt
Filed under: uncultured bacterium
Lineage: Bacteria
Description: partial 16S ribosomal RNA
Rfam family: Bacterial small subunit ribosomal RNA
Source: RNAcentral
UACGUAGGUGGCAAGCGUUGUCCGGAUUUAUUGGGUUUAAAGGGUGCGUAGGCGGUUUAUUAAGUCCGUGGUGAAAUAUCUAUGCUUAACAUAGAGGGUGCCAUUGAUACUGAUAGACUUGAGUACAAACGAGGUAGGCGGAAUUGAAGGUGUAGCGGUGAAAUGCAUAGAUAUCUUCAAGAACACCGAUAGCGAAGGCAGCUUACUAGGAUGUAACUGACGCUGAGGCACGAAAGCAUGGGGAUCAAACAGG